Molecule: ribosomal RNA, 387 nt
Filed under: uncultured bacterium
Lineage: Bacteria
Description: bacterial SSU rRNA
Rfam family: Bacterial small subunit ribosomal RNA
Source: RNAcentral
GACGAACGCUGGCGGCGUGCUUAACACAUGCAAGUCGAGCGGUAAGGCCCUUUCGGGGGUACACGAGCGGCGAACGGGUGAGUAACACGUGGGUGACCUGCCCUCAGCUCUGGGAUAAGCCUGGGAAACCGGGUCUAAUACUGGAUAUGACUCCAUGACGCAUGUUGUGGGGUGGAAAGCCUUGUGCGGCUGAGGAUGGGCCCGCGGCCUAUCAGCUUGUUGGUGGGGUGANGGCCUACCAAGGCGACGACGGGUAGCCGGCCUGAGAGGGCGACCGGCCACACUGGGACUGAGACACGGCCCAGACUCUACGGGAGGCAGCAGUGGGGAAUCUUGCGCAAUGGGCGAAAGCCUGACGCAGCGACGCCGCGUGAGGGAUGACGGCCU